Molecule: ribosomal RNA, 292 nt
Filed under: uncultured bacterium
Lineage: Bacteria
Description: partial 16S ribosomal RNA
Rfam family: Bacterial small subunit ribosomal RNA
Source: RNAcentral
GUUUCAGCCGCCGCGGUAAUACGUAGGUGGCAAGCGUUGUCCGGAUUUACUGGGCGUAAAGGGCGUGCAGGCGGUUCGUUAAGUCUAGGGUGAAAGCUCCCGGCUCAACUGGGAGAGGUCCUUGGAUACUGGCGGACUUGAGGGGAGUAGAGGAGAGUGGAAUUCUCGGUGUAGUGGUGAUAUGCGUAGAUAUCGAGAGGAACACCAGUGGCGAAGGCGGCUCUCUGGGCUCUACCUGACGCUGAGACGCGAAAGCGUGGGGAGCGAACCGGAUUAGAAACCCGCGUAGUCC